Molecule: ribosomal RNA, 497 nt
Filed under: uncultured bacterium
Lineage: Bacteria
Description: partial 16S ribosomal RNA
Rfam family: Bacterial small subunit ribosomal RNA
Source: RNAcentral
GAUGAACGCUGGCGGCGUGCCUAAUACAUGCAAGUCGAGCGAACAGACGAUUAGCUUGCUCCUCUGACGUUAGCGGCGGACGGGUGAGUAACACGUGGUUAACCUACCUAUAAGACUGGGAUAACUUCGGGAAACCGGAGCUAAUACCGGAUAAUAUAUUGAACCGCAUGGUUCAAUAGUGAAAGACGGUUUUGCUUUCACUUAUAUAUGGAUCCGCUCCGCAUUAGCUAGUUGGUAAGGUAACGGUUUACCAAGGCAACGAUGCGUAGCCGACCUGAGAGGGUGAUCGGCCACACUGGAACUGAGACACGGUCCAGACUCCUACGGGAGGCAGCAGUAGGGCAUCUUCCGAAAUGGGCGAAAGCUUGACGGAGCAACGCCGCGUGAGUGAUGAAGGUCUUCGGAUCGUAAAACUCUGUUAUUAGGGAAGAACAAAUGUGUAAGUAACUAUGCACGUCUUGACGGUACCUAAUCAGAAAGCCACGGCUAACUACGUG